Molecule: unclassified non-coding RNA, 576 nt
Filed under: Hevea brasiliensis (rubber tree)
Lineage: Eukaryota; Viridiplantae; Streptophyta; Magnoliopsida; Malpighiales; Euphorbiaceae
Source: RNAcentral
UGAUGAGUUUCUCAGUGCCUUAUGAACUGAGCAUGGGAGGAAGCAAGGAACAGUGGGCAGAGGCAUUUCUGGCCCAAAUGCAAUCAAGAUGGGAAAAAUGCAAAAAUAUUUGGAGGCCAUUGCAGAUGGAGGUGGAAGAUGAAGGAGACAAGGCAUCUCAAAGCUUCAGCAUCAUGGCCCAAAGGUCUUAACUUUUCGGUUGGGUGGGACCGUGGACGGAGUCAUCCAUGCUCUUCCCAUUAAAUUGCAGGUUGCAUGGAGAGAGGGAUGUUGGUGUUUGAUUGAUUGUGGAAGAAACUAUACUUGGCUGUCAAUUUAACCCUUCAAUAGUUAAUAGAUGUAAAUGUAAGAAAUUAUUUAAUGAUUACUGCAUGCUACCACCCACACAAAUUUGGUUAUUUCUUUACACGAAAAAUCAAAAAUUUUAUUGAGCCAUAACUUGAAGCAUAGUCUUUCAUCAUUACAUUUACCAGAAACUUGAGAAAAACUCUCUUCAUUUCGAGUUGGCAAGCAAUUCCUACCCAAGCCAAGAUUAAAACUGAAAAGAAAAACAAAAACGAGAGAAAGGCAAACGAA